This 319-nucleotide ribosomal RNA is filed under the name uncultured eukaryote. RNAcentral describes it as "partial 18S ribosomal RNA". It matches the Rfam family "Eukaryotic small subunit ribosomal RNA", at positions 1470 to 1796 of the family's 1831-position model. The record is from RNAcentral.
CCCUUAGAUGUUCUGGGCCGCACGCGCGCUACAAUGGUCUUCGCAAACGGAUGCAUUCUCGAAGGAGAAUGCCAAUCUUGGAAUCUAUGCCUUGGUCGGGACAGUUGCUUGCAAUUUUUCGACUCGAACCAGGAAUUCCUUGUAAUCGUGAUUCAUCACAUCACGAUGAAUACGUCCCUGCCCUUUGUACACACCGCCCGUCGCUCCUACCGAUCGAAGAGUUAGGUGAAUUGUUUUGAUCGAUAAGAUUUGACUAUGGUCAACUCUAGUUGUGAAAUUCUGUGAAUCUGACUGUUUAGAGGAAGGAAAAGUCGUAACA